AGGAAAAGAAGCAGCACGUGAGAGAGCUCGUCAGACAAUUAUAUGUGACUGUAUUCUACUUUUUAAAAUGAUAAAAGGGUUCCCACAUGUGUCAUGAAUGUUUUAUGUCAUAAAUGGAUGUUUGUAGAAGCUCUACGGCACCACUACAAGGAAGUGACCCAUCAUAUCUUCAGUGAUGCUCUGAAGAAAUGGCUACGAUAUGCACCAGAACGUCAGGGAGGUGCAAAGAGAAAAUGGACAGAAGUGGGUGUGGGCAGGUUGGGGGGGUCAGUUAGGACUUCAAUGUUUUUCUGAUUGUUAUCAAAUUACUACCAUUGUGCUAUUUUUGUGUGAAUAUAUAUAUAUAAUGUGUUAUGAAUGAUAAAUUGUUUUCAUUUUGAA
Brienomyrus brachyistius is the source of this 381-nucleotide long non-coding RNA. RefSeq lists it as uncharacterized. The transcript has 2 exons. NCBI's taxonomy places the organism in Eukaryota, Metazoa, Chordata, Actinopteri, Osteoglossiformes, Mormyridae. The record is from RefSeq and is a predicted model, not a curated record.